AUUGAACGCUGGCGGCAUGCCUUACACAUGCAAGUCGAACGGCAGCACGGGGCAACCUGGUGGCGAGUGGCGAACGGGUGAGUAAUGCAUCGGAACGUGCCAUUGAGUGGGGGAUAACGUAGCGAAAGUUGCGCUAAUACCGCAUAUUCUGUGAGCAGGAAAGCAGGGGGACCGCAAGGCCUUGCGCUCUUUGAGCGGCCGAUGUCAGAUUAGCUAGUUGGUGAGGUAACGGCUUACCAAGGCGACGAUCUGUAGCGGGUCUGAGAGGAUGAUCCGCCACACUGGAACUGAGACACGGUCCAGACUCCUACGGGAGGCAGCAGUGGGGAAUUUUGGACAAUGGGCGCAAGCCUGAUCCAGCCAUGCCGCGUGAGUGAAGAAGGCCUUC
Molecule: ribosomal RNA, 388 nt
Filed under: uncultured bacterium
Lineage: Bacteria
Description: bacterial SSU rRNA
Rfam family: Bacterial small subunit ribosomal RNA
Source: RNAcentral